AAUCCAUGGUGAGGGCAGUCACAUUCAUAUUCUUUAAAACGCUCCCACGCUUCAUAGAAAGGUUCAGUCGGUCCUUGCUGAAAGCUUGAGAUCUUGGUUCUCAUC
RNAcentral lists this small nucleolar RNA (105 nucleotides) under Eutrema salsugineum. Its description in RNAcentral is "Plant small nucleolar RNA R71". It matches the Rfam family "Plant small nucleolar RNA R71". From Rfam's summary of the family: R71 is a member of the C/D box family of snoRNAs containing the C (UGAUGA) and D (CUGA) box motifs. Multiple nearly identical copies of this snoRNA have been identified in Arabidopsis, and it is thought to function as a 2'-O-ribose methylation guide for 18S ribosomal RNA. Lineage: Eukaryota; Viridiplantae; Streptophyta; Magnoliopsida; Brassicales; Brassicaceae. The record is from Rfam by way of RNAcentral.